This 771-nucleotide unclassified non-coding RNA is filed under the name Hevea brasiliensis (rubber tree). The record is from RNAcentral. Lineage: Eukaryota; Viridiplantae; Streptophyta; Magnoliopsida; Malpighiales; Euphorbiaceae.
GGAGAAUCCGGGUCAUCAUGACGUCCACGAUAAACUACAGUGCCACUGGAAGAAGCAUCCUCAAAAGAAGCAAGUGUGCUACUGGACAGGGAACUCUGAUCACUGAAUAGAGAAGUGGAUUGAAUUCCUCUAGGAGAUCCUCUUGGAGAUCUCACAACCACAGUUCCAGUACCACUCACUGACAACUCCUCAUCUUCAUGAGAAUAAUCUCCUUUCUCGGUGUUUGCAUCUCCGCCGUCUUUUUGGUUGAAACCCUCUGAUGAAGUAUAAUGGACAGUUCCAGAAGCAGAGGACCAAUUGCUAGCACUGUCAAGAUUUUUUCUUGAAGCAGGUUGAUUCAAUGGAACUUCUGGUUUCCUAUCUCUAACCUGCGGUGGUUUCACACUUCGGACAGUUCCAGUACUAGAUGAUCCUCCAAUGCUGAAGUCCCAUCCAGCAGUUUUUAGGGUUUUCCCCUGGCCACUGACUUUAACAGUGCCUUCAGUACCCACAUCUCUUGUCACCCUAACGGUGCCCGAUGCUUCUCCUACAGGUUUCUGUCCAUUCCUAGGAGAAUCCAUAUCAUCCUUUAUUUGAAACUUGGGGCGCUCCCUGAUUCUCUCCAACAGUCUGGGGCUUUUUCUUGCAUUCCUUAUAAAACGGUGCUUCAGGAGUUCCUUUGCACUUGGCCUCUCAGCAGGGCUCUUCUUCAAACACAGGGACACGAUUUCCUUGAGAGGACGAGAAAAGUGUUCCUCUAGCUGGGGAGGAUUUUCUCGAGGUAUGAUAAAA